This 200-nucleotide ribosomal RNA is filed under the name uncultured eukaryote. RNAcentral's name for it is "partial 18S ribosomal RNA". It matches the Rfam family "Eukaryotic small subunit ribosomal RNA", at positions 588 to 784 of the family's 1831-position model. The record is from RNAcentral.
GCUCCAAUAGCGUAUAUUAAAGUUGUUGCGGUUAAAAAGCUCGUAGUUGGAUUUCAGUUCUGGACUGACGGUUCACCGCCGGUGCAUACUGUCACGCUCCGAACAGCCAUAAAGCCGCUGGCUCGCACGGGGUGCUCUUGAUCGAGUGUCCUUGUGGCCGGCAGAGUUUACUUUGAAAAAAUUAGAGUGCUUAAAGCAGG